AUGGGCAGAUUUUUGUGCUGAAUUAUUAUUUUAUUUAUUGCAAAAAAAUUAGUGAGAUUAUUCCUUAGCAAUUUCUCGAUGAUUGGUUCAAUUGUAUAUAGGAUGUUUGAUUAGAAAUUGUUAAGAACUUAUUAGAAGAUGAAUCCAGUUUCAUGUCUCAUUUCAUGCAUUCAGGUAUAAUGAAUUGAAGAAAAUUGGGUAAUAUAAGACAUAUUCUUGUUUCGCUUGUGCUGUUGAUUAUGUAUUCAUGACGGGCAGUAAGUUGAGCUGGUCAUUCACUUUUCAAAUGACAUAUCUAGUUCAUUUUCUCUUCAUUGCAGUCAGAAUGGGAAGUUCAGCUAUGGGUAUGCAAGCUCUCCUGGGAAAAGGUCUUCAAUGGAAGACUUUUACGAAACAAGAAUUGAUGGUGUUGAUGGAGAAAUUGUUGGCUUGUUUGGAGUUUUUGAUGGUAUUUAAUUGUCUUUAAUAUAAAAAGAGAUUAGGUGUAGUAUGUUUUGAGUAUGUACUCAUAGAUGAUACAACUUAUAGAUUUUGCAUUUCUAUGCGAAUAGCAGGCAUGGAUUCUGUACUACAUUUCUACCUUUUAGUCUCUUAAAUUGGAAAGUCUCACAGCGUUCAUUCAGGUCAUGGUGGUGCUCGAGCAGCAGAGUAUGUCAAAGAGCACCUCUUCAGCAAUUUGAUUAAACACCCCAAGUUCAUUAGCGAUACCAAGUCAGCUAUAGGUGUUUUUUGUUUACGAUUUCAUCAUUUGAAUUUUUAUUCCUGUCAAUAUAUGUAUAUAUCUAAUCAUUUCUGUCUGUACUAUAACCUUGCAGCUGAUGCAUACAAUCAUACUGACUCAGAGUUUCUGAAAUCUGAGAUUAGUCAAAAUCGAGAUGCUGGCUCAACUGCUUCCACUGCCAUCCUUGUUGGUGAUCGUUUGUUGGUUGCAAAUGUUGGAGACUCUAGGGCUGUUAUAUGCAGGGGAGGGAAGGGUAAGGCCCUAAAAUAUGUACAAUUAUGAUGCAUCUUUAUGUUAAUUUGUUGCAGUGGAUAUAUGAAGCCAAAGAAUAUAGACCUAAUUGGCUUGUUCUACAUAUACUUUUUGUGCAUGAUUUAGUACUUCCAUAAGAGAUGACUUGUAGUAUUGGACCUAAUAUAUCUAUGUUGUGACCAUCAAGAUUCACAAUUUCGUACCAUAUCGAGAUCAGUUCGGUACGGUACAAGUAUACCGAGUGGUACGCUCUAGCAUACCGCUUGGGGGGUGUGUGUAUAUAUAUAUAUAAUAAUAAUAAUAAUAAUAAUAAUAAUAAUAAUAAUAAUAAUAAUAAUAAUAAUAAUAAUAAUAAUAAUAAUAAAAGUUAAAAAAUAAAAAAAGGGCGACGUCGCCUUGUUUCUUCUCGCUGCGUGGGGAGAAGAAACCUCAUUUUCUUCGCCCCAUAAAUCCUCGGUGACGUCGUCGCCGAGGCUUCUUCUCCCCACGCGGAUGAGGAGAAGUCACCAAUGACACCGAGGCCUCGUCGCCUCAGACGAGGAGGAGGCGACAUCUCAUCUGCGACGUCCGACGAGGGAGGGCGGUGACGGAUCGAGAUCGUCGAGGGAGAGCGGCAUCAGAUCUCCAGGUUCUCCCUUUUCUUCUCCCUCUUCUUCCUUCUCCUUUGGCUAAUAUCGCCUCGUAACAGGCGGCGACGGUCGAAAUCAACCGUCACCGACUGAUUUCGCGUGGUAAUAGGACGGAAACUGCCCCAAUCGAUGGUACUGCCCGGUAGCGGGCGGUCCGCGGACCAGUACGUACUGCCCGGUGCAGCCAGUAUCAUUCAAAAUUAAAAACCUUGGUGACCAUAAUAGUUUUAUUAUCUGCUGUUACUUGUGACAAGGAGGUUGGUCAUUUGCAUUCAACUAUGUUUUUCAAUGACACUAGAUUCUUCUAGUAUUAUAUGAUGUCUUUGAAUUUGUUAUUGUGCUGGGUACAACUAGCUCUUCUCAUUGGUCUUUAUUUGUUUAGGCUAGACUGUGUCCUAGUCUGGGACAUUCCUAACAACCUGCUACAUGGUUUGCGAUCGCUUACCAAAUUGCCUUUAGGGCUUUGGUGCAUAAUUUGUUAUCACAUAAGCUUACUUUCAUAAAGAAAUUUCCACCAAAUUUUGGGGUUUGACUUAGGCUUAGAAACGUGCCGAUAAUUUCACGAGGCAUUCUUGUUUUUGGUUGUACUCUACAGUUGAUGACAAGCGAUUAAAAGAAGAACGGAUGACAAUGAUAUGAGUGUAUUACUCUAGAAAACAUGCAUACAAAGCAAGAUGAAACAGAAUGGGAAAAAGAAAGGAUCUUUCAAGUUUAUUAUUAUGGAAACACAUGCUUGACCUGAAACUAAUCUGACCAGCCAGCUCUUCAAAGAUUUUCUGAAACAAUGCACCAACAGGUUAUGUAUUGCUACCUGAACCCAAGUCAACUGCCAGCCGGUCUUGUUAAAUGGUUCCACUCAGUCGUGGUGAUCCAUCUUGGAUUGAGAUUCCCACCUCAAUAUGUAGGAUCACAAUUAUUUGAAGGCCAUGGAAUACGUAGGGUGAACUAUCCCAUUGUGAUUUUAAGCAUAUUAUAACUAGUCAAUUAGUCAGUUAUCUUACCGAUUAUCUUCUAAAGAUUAGUCACCUAGCUUGUUUUGAUUUCGUAGACUCAUAUAUAUGCUUUUGUAGCAUUUGCUGUCUCGAGGGAUCACAAGCCCGAUCAAACAGAUGAGAGACAACGGAUUGAAGAUGCCGGAGGCUUUGUGAUGUGGGCUGGUACUAAUUUUCUUCCAAAAGUUGUUCCUUCUUUAUCACUUGAAUCCUAACACAUCUAUGACUGCAGGAACAUGGCGUGUCGGUGGUGUUCUUGCUGUAUCACGUGCAUUUGGUGACAGGCUCUUGAAGCAGUUUGUCGUUGCAGAUCCAGAAAUCCAGGUUUGGAUGCUUAUUUAUAUUUUAUUAUAAAAUCAUAGAAUGUCAUUCUAUGAUCAGUGAAUUGUUAUUAUAAGUCAAAAGUAAAAAAAGCUUUUUCGUAUUGUUCUCAAGCUUUCUAGUUAAAUCUUAAUGUGAUUACAGGAGGAGGUAAUUGAUAAUUCCCUGGAGUUUCUUAUCCUUGCGAGUGAUGGAUUGUGGGAUGUUGUUACAAAUGAGGUAUUUUUAGCUUUUUAUGACCAUGAUAGCAAUCCCAAACAUACUAGUUACAUCAACUAAAUCUCUCUUUUUGGGAAACAUCAUAGGAGGCCGUAGCCAUGAUACAGCCCAUAGAGGACCCAGAACAAGCAGCAAAAAGGCUUUUGCAGGAAGCGUAUCAAAGAGGGAGCGCUGACAAUAUCACUUGUGUUGUGGUACGUUUCUUGGCUGGCCAGGAAAACACUGGAACAGUGCAACAGUGACGCUCGCUGCUUCAUCUUGUUUUAGUCUUAGUUGUCAGCGACUAGUGUUUGACCGAGAAAUCAAUGGAUUUUGCACAUAUGAAAAGCUGCCAGGUUGCUGAAAUCUUUGUUUGUGGAAGAAGGUUGAAUUGUCUCCGUAACACCCUUGUUUGUUUACUCAUGGUGGCUAACCUACAAAAUUGUGUUGUAGAAGAAUUUUAGUCCUGAAUGUAUCCGAUUAAGACUUAAUUUGAUGUAAUAUAUCAACUAAUGUUUGAAUGCAUUUGCGUGAGUGUGAUCGUGUUUGAAACAUAUGGCCUCACAGUGUGUGGGCAGUAUAUCCGAGCUGCAGCAAGCCAUAUGUCAGAUUGUUGUAUGUAGCAAAUCAGAGUCAGGCUUUUAGCUUCCUCAAGAUGUUUAAAGCUACUUGUUUUUCCUUUCUUUUCCCUUCCUUUGUGUGUUUGGUAUGUAAUGUUGAUGAAUGGUUGAUCCCAAACUUUAUAAUAAUAUAAAACCGUGUCAAAUGAAUGAUCAGAUCGCGAGAAGAAGAGAUUUCUUCCUAGUCGAGGUCUGGUGAAUAUAUUUUGGCCUUGUUUGGUCUAGUCAUUUGAUCAUAAAUUGCUGCUACCUCACUGCAACAUUGUUGAAUUUUAUGGCUUAAUGGCUGGUGUUGUGCAGGAGUUUUAAGCAAGUGACAGUGUCAUGUUCAGUUUGGUUUCGGAUUACAAUGACAGCAUGUGUGAAUAUAUCAUAACCAGACAAUGAAGCUGAUAAAACAUCAAGAUUUGGUAAAAUAAUAUUAUUCCACAAACAGAUUAUGGCUUAUGAUGCCUCAGCAGUGGAGGAGGAUUUCCCACAAGACUGUAAUCUGCACUAUCCAUGAGUUCUCUUAAUAGCAGUAACAUCAUUAUCCAAAUAUCAUACACACAGUAACUAUGAGUUCCACUACAGCAGGCAAUUAGCUUUUUUUCUUCUCCAUCUCCACACCUAAUUCCUAAGCAGAGAGAAGGUUUGUCUUGAAGACUAUAAGUAGUGUUCAGCCAAUUUGUUCUGCUAGUACAAGAAAAUUUCAGGGUAAUCACUAAAUUUGGUAGAUGAACAUCGCUGGUGGAUCAUUAGCAUGCAUGCAGUCAACCAGGGAAUGGCAUUGAGUCAGUUCAGAUAUUGGAGAAUCAUUGCAAACUCUUUACAUGCAGUAAGGAGAGCAUGUUUUGCACGCCACGUAAGAAGCAUUCCAUGCUGCAAUGAAGACAACCGCAUGCUGCUAAAUCCGCCAUGGCCCAUUGAGACUUAACAUGCUGAUUCAGAUGAUGCCUUCUCGUCUUCUACCUCUUGUCUCUGCAUGUGUCAGGAGUGGGUCAUAAGAAUCUCCAACCAUGGCUUCCAAAUCCUGUCUCAUAUCCCUCUCAACCCCUUCUGAUCCUAUACAUUACGUUAAGGUAAAGUUUGAAUCAUGUGAACAAUCUCUAUCAUGUCGUGAAGGUAAAAUUUGAGCACCGAAGAAUCUUUCCUCAGGACAGCCUCAUCAUUCUUGAUCUUAACUUAAUCAUUUGAAGUUGUGUGGAUAUUUCGUCAAACUCUAGAGCGGUGGGAUUCGUUCGUACUGGGUGGUCCUUGAGAGCCCAAGAUUCCAUUAGUCUCCACCAAGACAAGAUAGAUGGAACAAGGAUUGAUCCCAGCACAGGGUUCCACCAACAUUAUGCUUGGCAGAGCAGCAAGACCACUCACUAGACCUUCUUGCAUCAGGCAGUGAUAACCCCUCAAAAGAAGGAUAUGAACAUGGGAGUUCGGUAAGCUCUCUUCUUCCUCCUUUCUAUUCGUCUUUCACAGGCAGACCUGAGAAGAUUACUCGAUGGAAUAGACAGGUUUUCAAAGUGGAGCUGUUUGGUUCGACACGAGAUUUGUAAUCCAGACUGGCUUAUGGGACAUGCAAUGAUUGUCCUGCUACCUCAUCUGAUCAGAUGACAGUAUCUUCUACCAGCACUGGUGCAUCUGAAGAACAGGGAAGGAAGAGUUGGCUUCACCUCACCGAACGGGAACCAAGAGAUCUUGGCCUUGGACAACAAAUGCAUGCUGUCCGUUGUCGGCUUUCGAACGAAAGAGAAAGAUCCUAAUGAUGCCUAUCCAUGCCGGAUUAGAAUUCUACAAGAAGCAUCUCCCGAACCAUCAUAUGACAAGGAGAAUAAGUGGUGUCUUGUCAUUAAAGCUUUCGUUGGCCUACCUCUUCUAGUGUACAUUGAAUGAUAAUUAAGAUGCUUUAUAACCCCGUCCUAAAACCAAUCGAUCUGAGGAUGGAGGAGUAACAAAAAUGCAAUCUUUCUAACAAGAAUACAAGCUCAAUGUGUGGUGUUAUAAUAUCUUGCGAAUUAUAUGGGGGAGAAGAGAAGAGAGAGGUUGAGAUUAGGAGUUGUGUCAUCCGAUGCUACCCACCAGAAAGAUUAUGAACUUAAUCCAAGUUCGAAGGAGAGAAGAUCGACUUGGUUGUAAGGUAGUAAGCAUCCCUUUCAAGUCCCAAAAGGACAUCAUAAGUAGGCAAAUGGGAAAGAUUAGAUUUUGGCAGUAUCUCCUAAAUGUUGUUGUAAUCUGAGUAUUCUUCCGCUCUUCUCCUGUGUCGAGAAAACAUUGUUAUCAAUCUGAUUUCACCAUUAUCUUCUCCACACCUUCUUUGUCUCCUUGGCUUCACCUCCAUCAGAGCUGCACCUUUCUUUUGUUGUCAUCCUAAGCAAUCUCUUGGUGGCUGGUGUGAGGGGAAGACCCUCUACACUACUUCUCUUUAUUGUUCGAUCGACUACUGAUGGUUGCGGCUUGCGAACGACGUCAUCUCUGGAAAUGAAGCUUGGAGUCAGAUGUGAUGACAGGGAGGGAUGACAGAUGGAAGAAACAAGAGGAAGAUGCUUGAUGUGCUGUGGGGAGUUGAAGUUGCAGGUGAGCAAUGUCUUCUGUUACUUUGUCAUCAGGUUGAUCAAAUUCUCUUUUUCUCUUUUCUUUUGGUUUGGGUAAGUACUUUUAUAGCAUCAUGUUGAAAGCUUUUAUAGCACCAACACAAAAAUGAACCAAUUUAAACUCAUUAUAGGGCCAAAAACACAUUGUGUGACAGAAAUCAUCUGAAAUAUGGUGUCUAAUUCAACAUAUUGCACCUCUUUCUUAUUCAGUUGUCUUCUGUAUAAUUCAUGUGCUGUCAAGAAAUUUUAGGUAUGUUUCCCAACUUCCAGUGUGUGUCUGCCAUAGUUUACUUGGUAUGAUUCUUUCUCUGCUUCCAUCAACAAAGACAUUGAGCUGUGUGAAGUGUCUCAUUGUUAGAUCUGAGUAAUACCCCUUCAAAGCACUCUUUUCCUCUCUUUGAUUCUGUAUGUUGAUGAUCUUAAGCAUGACUGUUGUUGGGUUUGAAGGACUUUGUUUAUCUCCUCCUUUUUCUGUGGCUUUCAAUUUUUCUCUCUCGAGUAUUCUUUGAAGUCUAAACUUCGUUAUUAUUCUGCCAAAAUUCUCCCAACACCAUUUCUUCUUCCAAUCUAAUGAUCCUAAUAUACUGGUGUUGAUGUUGGCAAAGGAAGGUGCUUGUUCUUGAUGAGACAUCAGAGUGGAUCCGACUUGUCGAUGCAUGUAAUGGAUUGUUACUGUGUGAUGAUUGAAGCAUGCCUUGUUCUGAUCAUUGAAGCAUGUCUCCAUGCACCAACUAUUCUAUCCUACUUGUAUCGCAUCCUUCCCUGUUACCUUUGAUGAAGAGAGAAUGUUCAUGAGGAGUGUCUCUUGCCAUGUAGAACUGCACGCGGGUAGCUGCAGCGAGUGUCCAACCAUGGAUAGCUUCCUACGACGACAUGAGUUAGAAUCGCUGAGGAGCACAAUGCUGAAGCAUGAAGAGGUCUUCAGACAUCAGGUAGAACUGUGUUCGGAGACAUCCAAGAACUCAAAAGUACUCCAGCUUUGAUGCGUCGUCUUGAUCAGAUUCUGAUGCAACGAAUGGCAGGUGCAUGAACUGCAUCAACUGUACAGAGUUCAGAGGAUGCUGAUGGCUGAGCUGAGGAGCGAAGGGCUGAAGCUUCGGUAUCUCGCCAAUGCAACUCUGAGCACGACGACGGGCGCAGCCACCACCAGACUGUGGAGCAGUACAUCUACCGUCACCAACGUGCAUCAGAGGAAGGUGAGCUCGAUGGAGCUCAACCUCUGCUUCGAUCUCGAGCAGCCUGGCGAAGCAGUGGCCGCCGAGGAACGGUCGACGGCCGCCGGAAAACACCGGGAAGAAGAGAGGAGCAGCGGAGGACGUCGUAAAUGGAUGGAUGAUGAGAGUGGCGUUGAGCUUACACUCAGCAUAGGACGUGGCAGUGGUAAGAAUCCAUGAAGGCUGCUCGCAGGUGGUGGCAUGGACAAAGCUAUUAGCGUUCCACAUGUGUUCUACAGAUUUGGACCUUCCACAGAUUGAGUUAAUCCAAAUAUACUGGAUUUGUUGUUAAGGAUCGAAUAAAUUGGACGAUAUAUAUAUGUUGGAUUAAAUAGAGUUUGACUAAGACUCAUCUAGUCAACGAUGACUACAAAUAAAAGCAUCCUUUCUCAUGUGCAUAACAUAUAACAUGUGGACAUGGAAAGAGUCAACCUUGUUCGUUCCGAGUCACGCGUCACGACUUUCAACGCGACUUCGCUUCAGAAAACGGCUUGUUUCUAAUCCUGUAUGCGUGCCACCUCCUCAUGCGGCGGUAACGUCAGUCGUUACUGAGACGACUCGCGAAGCUUCGUAUAUAUUUUAGGGCUUGCUUGUAGUUUUAUUUCGUCGUCUCGGCUCUUCUCUCUCCCGUCCUUGGUCGCCAAAGAGAGACAGGGUUCGGAGUCUUCGAUUCCCCUUCCGUCGAACCCCGACUACUACUGUACGGGAAAUCGGCUGCGGGGUGGUCAGUGCGUUCUCGAUUUCCUCUCCUCGACGCUGCUUUCUCGGCUUUUAUCAGGUUAUGUGUUUUUCUUGGUUGAUUAUGUUGGCUUGGUGUCGUGAUUUGACGAAUUUGAAACGAUGAAUUCGUCGAGUAGCGGCUGUCCAAAUGGGCAGUGGUUCGGAUCGGUUGUAUGGAGGAUGAACCUCUUGGAUGAUGAAUGAUUGUUUGUCUGCGAAAAUUAAGGUUCAGGAAGUCGCUAGCAUAUAGCUUGAUCUUGUUGACAGCAACUAAAGUUGCAAUCUUUAAGGAGUAAUUACUGUGAGAAGAAAGUGUCGAGAAGUAGCAUGGACCUUGAAUGGUUGAAUAUUUUCCUGGUUGUUGGAUACGUGUUGGUUAGAUAAACCUAUUAGUUCUUUAAUUGCAGAGAAAUGUAGUCCUAUAGAUACCAUGUAAGUAGAUAGUUUUCAGAGGAGAUGGGUUUUGGUAUAUAAGAUAUCAACUCGUAUUUGUUUGUUUUAUCUUCCACUGUAUUGUGGAAUUGGAUGGUGCAGGGAGGCCAGGAUAUCAUUAGAGAAUUGGGAUAUUUGAAAUAUCAGUCUUGGAUAAAAGCUCAUAUUCUUCCAAAUUCAGAUGGGAUUCAUAACUUUUUCUUUUUCUUUUCUUGAUUAGAGCAUGAAAUAUAGUGAAUUAUUUCUAGGUUGGAUGCAAUUUACAAUUUCCCUUCGAGCUGAGGAAAGAUUCUUUGAAGCUGUGGAACUUUCAUAAAUUAUUUUAAGAUAUUUUGUUUAAUGAAAAGUUGGAUGUAUGGCCCAGCAUAGCACAAAAGCAGUAAUUUUCGACCUUUAAGUGGAAGCAUCUUCAAUUAAUUCACUUUUAUCUUUGACGAAUAAAAUCACACCCAAACAUUCUUGUUUGGUGUCCAGUAGCUUGAAGAUAUCUGUACAGCUGCUGACUAAUACACAAAUUAGGAUCAUUUGCUUCCUUGAGGUUCACUAUUGAUGUAGGCCACUUUAGGUUUCUUAGAUGAAUCACCAGAGCUCUAGGAUUUGAUACUGCAAACUUCUUGACAUGGUGUAACUUUAGUAUCAGUAAUUGAAGAAUUUUGUUUAGUUGGGUAAGGAGUACAUGGAUGAAAAAAUUUUAGUUUACUUGGGUUUAUUAUUCAUCAAGAAAGGAGGAUUGAUGAAUUCAUUACCUGGAAAUCCGUUGCUGAUGAUUUUGUUACUUUUUGUUUCUAUAUUUCGGCAGAGGAUUCAAAAUACCCAAAAUUUCUUUUUUUAAGCUUGUUUUUUGUGUAAAAGAUCUCGUAAUUGUCUUGCCGUUCAAUGACAUGUACAGGUCCUUAAAGUAAUCUUCUCCAAAACCGUUGAACAUCAGUAAUGUUGUAGCAAACUAAUGCAUGGCCUUGUGCACCUCGAACCAGAAGGAUUAUGCUGCCAAGCCCCAUCCUUUGUACUUGCAGGACAUUCAAUUUGAUUGCAACUGGGAAGAUGUGACACGCCCAAUCUCUUUGGAUUUCCCUCACAAUGGGGUUCUUCUCUGGUGGUCUUCUUAUGAGAAGGGGAUGUUGGCCUUUCAUGUGUGAUAAAUUGUCUCGAGCAGUUCAAAAGUGCAUAUGGAGCACCUGUCGUUGUAAAAAUCACACCAACUAUAGAUGGGAUAACCAUGGAUGGCAUUCAAGAUAUUCUCCAAACUCCAGCUCCACCAACCUGUCCACUGUGUAGAGGGAAUGUUACUCUGCUGAUCGUUAUUGAUGAGACUUGUGUUUAUCCAAACAUGAAGAAAUGAUGGUGUGAAGAAAAACACUGUUCAUAUAUCAUCAAUUUUUCUGAGCUGUGGAAGCAUGGUCAACUAAAACACCCCUACUCCCACCCUUCAAAAAUACAACCCUGCACGACAACUUGACCAGGAAAAUUUCAGCAGCCCUCACAGAUCAUAGAUGUCUUGAGAACUACACAUGCAGAAGUACCCCAUGGAGUGGCUUUAGGUGAGUACGUCAUCGAACAUGGGGAUGCAGAUGUCAGAGAUGAGCAUGAAGGUUUUCCUCGGAGCAGGGGUAACUGGUGGGACUCCUGCAUAUUCUUUAAGGGAUUGCAUAGGGGUUCAAGAAACUGGCACAGAUCAAGAGAAAGUGGAAGAAGCAGGGUCACUGUUCAAAUUCUGAUGGUUCAAAUCUAGGUAAUGAGUCCACAAAUCUGUAGAUAUAAGAGAAUACAGAUUUGUUGAAACCGAUGACGAGCUUGCGAGAAUAGGUGCUGGUGCAGCAACAUCGGACAGGUAAGAGUGAUCCCUUAUUCUUUUCUUAGAAACUCAGGGGUCUGUAUUUUGCAGAGCAUGAUAUUUCCCCUCUUAGAAUCUGUGAUUUGCUUCUAAGGAGCUUUGCUUUGCUGAUAUUAUCAUGACAUCUCAUUUCUAUGAUCAUUGGCAAACAAGAAACCAUAGUAGCCGGUCUAUCAUCCAGGGGCAUCUUUUCAGCUUCACGGCUUAGUUCUGGCACCUUCAUAGAGUUCGUCAGUUGACAGUUAUAUCUGCGCAUAUUAAUGGAGUAUGGUAUGUAGUGCAUCAUGCAUCCCUUGCUGCAAUCUAAGGAUUCAUCAAUGUAAUUCUUGUCCUUGUGUUAUUCUUCUGUUAUGUUAGUCUUAUAUCAUUAAGACAGUUUUUUUGGGAACUAAAUAUCCAAUUAAUUGAAGGGGAAAUGCAUCAAAUAAAGAAAUAAAAAAUAAAAAAGUGUUAUUAUAUAUAGUUCUUUAUUUUUCUCUUCUUGGAUGAAAUGGCUAAUGAUGUUGGUGCCAGCUCUUAAGUUUUGAAUGAUGGAUUACUCGAUUGAUAAGUCGGAAAGACUAAUCUUUUAUUUGCAGUGUUACGAUGAUUUCAGAACGAAGGGUCGCCUAGGCCUAGGUGAUGGUACUCUGCCAAAGUCUACUCAACCAGGUGGUUUUACGACAGACCGGUAAAAAACAUGUCAACCAUGUCAAUAGAUGUUUGUGGAUUAAUAAAAAUUAAUAUUAUAAUUAAGAUAUUCUAUUUUGUUAUGAUCGAUUUGUAUCGAUCAAUAUUUUUAGUGUGAAUCAUCCUUUUUCGGAUGGUUCAAUUUUUUUUCUUUCUUAAUUAUGAGUUUGAUUUUUUUUUUUUCUUCCCAAAGUCAUGGAUCGCUUCUCCAUUCUUCUCUCAAUCGUUCCUCAUGCUUUAUGCCCACCUCACCCUCCUCCUCAUCCUCAUUGUUUUUUUUCUUUCAACUUCUUCCCUUCCUUCUACCCCUCUUGUCCUACUUGUUUCUCGUGCUUCAUGCUCACCUCCCUCUCCUCUUCCUCAUAUUUAUUGUUUUUCUUUUCUUCUCUUCCUUUUACCCCUCCCUAUCUAUACUUUUUUAUACUAGUAUAGAUCAAAACCUAUAAGUUAAUUCAAAAAUCGACUUUGAUAUGAUUUGAUCAUUCAGCCAUAAACAAAAAACAAAAAAAAAAUGAUUUUGUUAUAUUUUAUUAGAUCUGUGGACAACAUUGAUAUUAUUACCUUUGGGUUGAGAUUGAUAUUAUUACCUUUGGAUCUCAACUUCUAUUUUAUUUCUACCUAUUUUUCAUUCACUGAGGUGGAUGUUUAGUUCUUCCUAUCUAUAAGAAUAGCCUCAAAACCCAGCAAAUGGAGUUGUGUUUAGUUAGAACUCUAUCUAUCUAUAGGAAAUUAAAGGUGCUCACAGAAGUGUCAACACUACACUGUUUGGCUUUGGAGACUCCAUUAAUGAGAAAAGAGAAUUCAAAACAGUCACUGCUAAGCUCCUUGCCUUAGCAAUAAUCUCAAGUAUGAACCACUGGAUGCUCUUGAGAGGACAAGAAAUAAUAAGUGUGGCAAUGAUCUAUAUACUAAUUGGUAUAUCCUGGUUGGUCAGAAGUCCUUUUGAGUGGUGAUUGUGACUUGAAAGAUGAUGAAAAGGAAGAAGGUAAUGUUCGAAUGAUCCAAAAUUAACACCACUUUCAUCAUUCAUAGAUAAAGACCUUUUUAUUAAGAUUGAUUUUAUUAUGAUCUGACAAUCUCUCCCAUGUGCUUCAUGUCAUCGCAUAUUUUUCUUAGCUCGCUCGAUGUCAAUUGUCAUCAACCAGGCUUUCAUCAUAUCCAAUAUUAUUAGAUCGACUCUAAUAUUAAGUUUUGAUGGGAUAAUUGAUUUAUUAAUUUGAUUGAGCUUAGAUCAUCGAUAAAAAUAUUUAAGCUGAAGUUAACAGUAGUACAUCCAUCAGAUCUUUAUAAGUUUAUUUUAGUCUAAUCCUAGACGGGAUUUAACUAGGGUGUUAUAGGUUUACUAAGAUGAUUUGAUUUACUAUGGUGCGAUCAUAAGGAAUGGUAACACAAAUAGUAACAUUGAAAAGAUGGAAGGCUUCUCUCUUUUAUAGAUACACAUUUUUUUUUUUUAUCUUAGGAGAAGAGAAAUCAUAAACACAAAUAAAAAUCACUGUGAAUGAACAAAAUCAGAGUCUUAACAACACACAUUGUGCUUCAUUUAUCAGGAGCUUCCUAGAAAAGAUUUAAAAGACACAAACAAGUUAAGAAGAUCCAAAUAUCUUGGGGGCAAAAGUUUGACCCUGAUUUCAGAUCACAAACAGCGUUUCAAGUUGGGCUACAGAUUUAGGCUGAGAUGUUUUUACUUAGCCAGCACAACAAUUAUCUUGAAAUCAGGAUCUUCUUGCCCUCUAUAUGAGAAAGAAUGUGAUCGAUCACACCAGCAAUAACACAGUGGACGGCAUGAAAACUUGAAGCUUAUUUAAAGAUUUCUCUUCUCGCUCUCUUCUUUUGAAAGAGAGAAAGGGAAAGGGGAGAAUCUUUAAGAUACUUGUGAAUGAAUGUCAUGUUUAGCAUUGCAUUAACUCGAAUGCUUCAACAACUCGAUACAUCGAUCGAACACCCCGCAAGAUUCCUAUAACAUAUAAAGUUCGUAUAAGGUUCUCGAUAAUCCCACAUGUAAAUUAAACAUUCAUUUACUUCUAAUCAUUAUUGAAAAUUAUCAUAAAAGAUCACAUAUUCAUUCUCUCUCUCUCUAGUAGAUAUUGUACUCUUUAUUUUUCUAACCCUCAAAAUCUACUUAUUAAGGAUCAAAAGGAUGAUCUUUAUGUAUGUAGUGCAACAAGUUCUUAAGUUGGCCUCGAACCUCCGACGACAACAAGUCUUAUCACGCAACAGUUGGGGUUAGCAUCCACGAAGAUAGAUCCUUUGGCUUCGUGCAGAUAUCUUCUAGAACAAAAAAGGCCUUGUUCUAGAUCUGCGUGUGUGGUAAAAGACAAUAUCGUUCACGAUGAAGGCGUAGUACCGAUCUCUAUCAGAAUCUGCAUAAUUUGGUGCAGCGUUCAGCCUCUUUUUGGCUACCAAUUUGGUCCUGCAAAUACGAGAUGUGUGUUCAUACAAAAAGAUGAUAUUAUGGGAUGAAGAAUAGAAAAUCCCGAAAACAAUCUGAUCCAAAGAACCACUCCAUACAUGUUUAUGGAGAACCUAAUGUACACAUAGCACGAUAUUCUCAUGCUUCUUGAUACAAACAGCUUAAACAUCAAAUUCCACACCAUAGCACAAGCCAAGCAAGCAGAUAGUACAAGCACCACCAAACCUUUUUGUCUGCUAAUGAGAGAACACCAGCUGCGGCGUAGAACCACACCUGAAUCCACGAGCAUGACAUAGGUGUCUCGUGUACCCGUGCGUGUAUGUGUGGACGGGUCAUGCAUCGCGCACCUCAAACACGUUCCGGCACUUGACGACGAUGUCGUACAUGUGCACGGACGUGAACCUGGAGAAGUCUCUCGGCACCGAGAUGAGGUGCACCGACGAGCGCUUGUGGAACUGGACAAGAUCCGGGGUGCUGGGGUACAGCUCCCACCCGAGCUCCGCGAGCUUGGUCGCCAGCAUCUCAUUGGAUGUGAUCACCUCGUUGGUGGGAAGGUAGACCAGGAUCUUCCGCCGCCGACUGCCGAUCGAGUCGCCGCCGCCUGGGUUCUCUCGCCGCACGACGCCGUUCUUGAACACCCACACCCCUGACAUGUCUUGCUGCUGUACGAUCAGAAUCGGAGAGGGAUGAGGGGGGUGUGGGAAGCGGAUGAGGGAGUCGAGGGGAGAGGAGGUGCGGGUUUUAUAUGCACUGGACAAGGUUAGAGAGAGAGAGAGAGAGAGAAUGGCUAAGGUGGGACCCGCCAAGGGGAGAUAUGGAGGACCGUGUGGGACCGACGGAGCUUUGAUGAACAGCUACUUCCCUGGCCACUGGGAUCAGCGGUGAUUAGAGUCUCUCGGCACACAGUCCACGGGGAACUGCUACUUGCCGGUGUUGUGCAAAUUAUUGGAGGGGGGGGCCAAAUGGACUUGAAAACAGAUAUCUUUAGAUCCUUAGGGUUUUGUACUACAUAUCCUGAGGAACAAACAUGCUUUGUGGUGCAGUGAGUGGGGAGACGUCGGCUUUCUCAAAAGCUGUCACUCAGCUUUUCAUGAAUGAUGUACGUGAGCAGGAUAAAAUGAUGGACCAGUUGCACUGACAUGCAGCAGCAGCAGCAGCAGCAGCUUAUCACGAGCCACGCAGGUGGAAGAAAGAGAGAGGUCGACCACGCUCGCAUUGACCCCCUUCUCCACUCUUGCCAUGGCCGGGACUAUGUUAUGUGAGGCCGCAUACCCCCCCCACAGUUUGAUCGAAUGCAAUUUGAUCGUUCUGAAUGAGAUUCUACUAGGGCUUGACUUUUGAGUCACAAAGGAGCUGAUCCAGUUGAGGGAGAGAAGCAACAGGUCAAGAUGCAGUAGUCCAAUCCUUGAGCUGACCACUGACAUCACCGGCGAGCGCCAUCCCGUACGGAACCAUGAGCGAAAAUACAUGCAGCUUUAUGUUUGCCGGAAACAGAGAAAGAGGUAUGUAUGACACCGAAUACUCGGAGAAAUCAUGAGGCCUCGCACUACUCCCACCGUUGAUAACCCUGUUGAAUCAACAUGCAGAAGCUGAGGGAUGCAAAACUCAUGCUGAGGACAGCAGAACUGGAGCAGCGACUGCCACUGCCACCACUUGCUUUUUCCUCAAAGGUGGACCGCCACAAAUGGUGGUGGAGACGGUUCGGGCCAUGUGUGCCAGUCUCCAUACGAAGCAGUACACUGAUACAGAAAGCAGAUAUCACUUGUUCUUUCUUCUUUAAGCAGGCAGGAUUAUUCCAGCAACGAUGGCUCCAUCAGCUGUGGGGCUGCUGGAGGAGGAGCUAUAGAUCUAUGACCAUAUCUAUUCGUUGGACUGUCGCAAGGAAAGGCCCCAUCUUGCACGUGAGCCCAAAUGUCUCUUCUUGGUGUUUGGUGUUCUCCGAAUCGAGGACCACAGCUUCCGUAGGUGGUGUUUGAUCCAAAGUUUUCUUUCAUUUGACCGUGAGAGGUUGCAAGUUGCCCUUCUUCCUGAGCUGGGAUGAUCAGCUCUAGAGCUAGAAAAGUUCUUUGGAAAGGAAGGAGGACAAUCUACAAAUUCCCUACGAAGAAGGAGGUCCCCAGAAAAGAUGUCGAAAGAGGAGGAGGAGGAAAACAAAGGAUGAUGUGAUCAUGACGUAGAUCCAGUAAGGGCAACAGGGGAUUCAAGGAAGUUCUAAAUGUAGUAAAUAACUAAGAAGAUGGAUUACAUGUCGGCAUCUCCCUCAACGAGAUUUAUUAUGUCGGCUGGCGUCUGGAUAAUGAGACGACAUGUAUGCAUGCGAGCUUCCUCUCUUCCUGGUUCUUCCGCUCCGAACCAUGCGGUGUUGGUUCGGCUGGCUUCUCAAUCGCGAUAGGUAGGAUCAAGUGGCUCGUCUCGGAAUCUGUGCCCUGGAAUCUGCCUGCAGCAUUUUAUCUUGCAGAUGAAGCGUGAGGAGACUGCGACUGUGAGCACGAGUGGUGGUUGUUCUUUAAUGGCGCACCACAUCCCUCUCCGAUGGACCACUUCCUCUGCUCAUCAUCUUCCUGACACAAAUGGCUCUCCUCGCUCCCUCCCUCCCUCCUCCUCCUCCUCCUCCUCCUCCUCUCUCUCUCUCUCUCUCUCUGUGCACGUGAACAAUCAGGGUAGAACACUGGAUUUGGUCCCACCUGGACACCGUCUUCCACAAUGCUCUUCUCCAAAGUCUUCAUUUCACUUGAGAUCGUCAUGUGAUUGAUUUGCUCUGGUUUUAGGGUUCCACGACGCACCUGUGGAACCCAUUGGAUCGUGAUAUUGCGGCCACUAAGCUCCGGCAUCCGAUUGACUCUUCCAUGAAUCCACUUUUUGCGGGUCUAGCUCAGUCACCGGCUGCCGUGUCACCGUCGGAUAGCCGACUGUGACAAGACCGAUUUGGCAGCGUAGCCUUUGGUUCCAACCAUCACUGGAAUCGAUGCCCUGACAACCACACCUCCAUCAUUUCGAGCUUGGACAUUAUUGUCUCAUGUCACAGCGGAAGCCAUUUAGGAUGAUAUCUCAAGUUGUCAUCCGAGAGUUGCUUGAAUUUGAGAUAGCAAAAACAAGAAAGGCUUGUCAAUUAAAAUCUAAGAAAAAGGAGAUUAAACAUCUAAAACUCUUGCUGUUUCUCGUAAGAAUUCUUCGAAGAAUAAAUCUCAUAUAUCUCAUGUCAUAAGCGAUAAAAUUAAUCUAAAUUAUUAGAAUUAGAUAGAUAAAAUAAAAGAUAAUUUUUUUGAUUUUUUUAUGAAGGAAAAAACAGUUAGAUCAUAUCUUUGUCAGGGAUACGGUCAAAAUCAAACUAUUCAUUUAUAAGACCAUAAAUAUAUGUUCUUGGAUAAGUCUAAAGCAUUAUAUAUUAGAUUAGAAAUACUAUUCUUUUUUUUUUACCUUCUUCGUUUCCUUCUUGAAAUUCUAUAAGAAGUCAACUAAUAUAAGGAUUAUGAAAUUUGGUAGAAAAUAAUUUUGCUGAGUAUGAUAUGCAAGAUCCAAAUAUUGCUGAAGAUCAAUAAGAUUAAAUAAAUGAGAACAUGCAAAAAGAUGCAAGAGUUUUCUACAUGCUAUAACAAGCAACAAAUGAAUCUUUAUUUUUCUAAAUCAUGUGAGCAUCAAAAUCAAAAGCGUAAAAAAUAUUAAAAAGUGUGUUACAAGAUACAGACAAAAUAAAAACUUUAAAGAAUGAUAUUUUUCCAUAUGAAUUUAAAUCUCUUAUGAUGAACAAUUCUAAAUCUAUCACUCAUUAUUUCUUAAAAAUCUCUUUUGUUAUGAACUAAAUAAGGUCUUACAGUAAAAACUCAAAAGAUCAAACAGUAGUAAAAUAAGUUUUACGAAAUUUAUCUUUAAAAUAUGAUGUCUUUUACUGUUAUAGAAAAAGCUAAAGAUACAAGUACAUUAUCUAUUAAUGAAUUAACAGAUUCAUUUUUAGUUUAUGAAUAAAAAUGAAUAUAUCUUUAGAUGAAACUUAAUAACAUACUUUUCAAAUAAAGAUAGAUCAAAAGAAUGAUAAAAAAAUUCAAAAAACUAAAUCUCAAGGGAGAGAUUAGAAUGAUAGAGGGGAGAGAUUAGAAUGAUAGAGGUCGGGAAUGACUUAGCACCUAGGACAAGGGAUAAGUUCGAUCAAAUAAGAGUCAAGGGAACUUGAAUGAACAUAACAAAGAAACUUAUUAAUGCUUUUACUACAAAGCAAAUGGACGUAUUGAAAAAAAUUACUUGUAUAAAAAAUAAAAAUCUAAAUGUUCAUCUUUGCUCCCAUUAUAAAAAAUAUGACUAUUUUGAAAAAUUAUUGGAAUAAAAAUAAAAAUAAUCGUAUGACAAUAGAUAAAAGUUUAUUUUAAAUGCUUAAUGGUUCGAUCAUAUUUAUAGGAUAUAUGAGAAAUAAUAGUAAGGUUCAAGUGGAAAAAAAAGGAAUAGUUAUUGUGAACAUUAAAUUUGGUAUAAAAUUUAUUGAUAAUGUGAUAUGUAUUAUUGGUUUAAAAUAAAAUCUCAUUAUGAUGAGAAAAGGAUAUUAUACUACUUUUGAUGAUGAAAAUAUUUAAUUUAUGAAAAAAAACUAAAAAAUUGAUAACAACUAUGAGGAUUAUAAAAAAUAAAAUAUUGUUUUUAUAUUUUUCCUUACAUGCAAUCACUGCUAUUAUUAUUAACGAAUCGACAUUAUAGGAUAAAAGAUAUGCACAUUUGAAUUAUGGUAUAUUAAAAUUAUUAAAUUAGAAGAAUAUGAUAUUUGAUUUGCCUAGAAUUAAGAAUAAAGAUACUGUUUAUAAAUCUUAUAUUAUAAAAAAUAAUAUAAAAAUUCUUUUCAGAUAGAUCAUUCUUGGAGAGUUAAGGAACAAUUAGAACCUGAUAUUUGUGGGCCUAUGUAGACUAUAUCAUAUAAUGGAAGUAAAUAUUUUUUAUUAUUUAUAGAUGAUUGCAUAAGGAUGAUAUGAGUAUAUUUUCUUAAAAAAAGCUAAAAUCUUCUUAUUUUCAAAAUUUUUAAAUCAUAUGUAAAAAAUAAAAUAAUUAUUUUAUUAAAAUUCUACAUACUGAUCGAGGGGGUGAAUUCACUUUUAAAGAUUUUUUUUAUAUUUUUACAAGAAUGCAUGCAUUUACAAGGAACUAAGUACAAGUUGGACCCCCUAGCAAAAUAGAAUAGUAGAGCAAAAGAACUGAGUUGUGAUCGAGAUUACUAGAUGUAUGCUUAGAGAAAAAUCAAUACCAAAAGAGUUUUGGGAAAAAGUUGUGAGUACAAUAGUAUAUUUGUUAAACUAUUUUCUACCAAAGUAAUAUAAAGAAAAAUAUAUUAUGAAGCAUGGUUAGAUAGAAAAUCACAUGUGAGUCACUUAUACAUAUUUGGUUAUAUUGGUUACUUUCAUGUUUCUAUAAAAAGAAAAAAGAAAAGUUGAUGAUAAUAGUAUUAAAUUCAUAUUUGUAGCGUAUUGUAAUGAAACAAAAAGUUUUAGACUUUUUAAUCAUACAAUUAAGAAAUUGAUCAUAAUAAUUUUUUAUUAAUGAAGAAGAAGGUUGAAACUCUAAAACAAUUGAAAUUUCAAUAGUUGUAGGAGAAGUAAGGCACAUGAUGCAUUGUCUAUUAUUAAUACAUUGCCUGAAUCUUAUAUUUUGAAUGAUUCAAAUUCAAUUGAUUGUAGUGAUAUUGAAAUAUUUUUAAAGAAAUUUUGUAGUUUCAUAGAUAUAUUGAUCUAGUGAUUUUGCAUGUAUUGCUUUAGAACCUACUAAGUUUUGAAGUUGCAGAAGGAAGAAUGAUACAAAUAAUGAAUAACAAAUUAUAAGCUAUUGAAACAAAUAAGCCUUGAACGAUUAGUAAAUUUGCCCUCAAGAAAAAAAGUAAUUGGACUCAAGUGGGUGUAGAAUUCAAAAUUUAAUACCGAUGACUUGUUGCAAAAACAUAAAGCACAUAUAGUCGUCAAAGAGUAUACCCAAAUUCUAUGCAUCAAUUUUUCAAAAACCUUUUUUAUUUAGUUACUAGAAUUGAUAUACUAUAUUAGCAUUGGUAGCCCAACAAAAAAUGAUAGGUUUAUCAACUCGAUGUUAAAUCAAUCUUCUUAAAUGAAAAAUUGGAGAGGAAGUUUAUAAAAAGCAACAUGAAGGAUUUAAAAUUUAAGGAUAAAAAGAUAAAAUAUAUAAAUUGGAUAAGGUAUUAUAAGAUUUGAAACAAGUAUCGAGGGCAUAGUACAAUAGAAUUAACAAGUGUUUUCUUCAAUAUAAUUUUCAAAGAAGUUAAAGUGAGCCAACUUUAUAUAUAAAAUCCAAAGUAUGAAAAUUUUUAUUAUUUGUUUGUAUGUUGAUGAUAUGAUUUAUACUGAAAAUUCAUCGGAUAUGCUUAUUAAAUUUAAGAAAAAAAUGAUAUGGGAAUUUUCAAUGACUAAUUUGAAACUUUUAUAUUAUUUUCUAAAAUAAAAAUUAUUAAGGAUGCAAAUAAAUUAUUUUUUAUGUAAAAAAUUCUAAAUAUUUAUUUCAAAUACUUCAAAUGAUAGCUUGUAAGCCAAUGAAUACUCCAAUAAAUAUAAAUAGUAAACCUAUGUUAGAUGAUGUAGUUGAAAAAAAAAAAGAUGAGAAACAAUAUAGAAGUUUAAUUAGAGAGUUAAUUUAUCUCAUAUAUUCAAGGUCAAAAAUUAUAUUUAUAGUUAGUUUAUUGUCUAGAUUCAUACAUACUCCUAGCAAGUAUCACUUUGGAGCAGCUGAAAGAGUUCUUAGAUGCAUCAAGAAAACUCUCAAUUAUGGUAUUCGUUGUGAGCAAGUAAAAGAUUUUAGUUAUAUUCUUAUACUUAUAGUGAUCAGGCUAGUUAUGUAUAUGAUAGAAAAAAUACUUUAUGAUUUGUGCUUAGCCUUAGUUUAAGGGUGAUUUCAUGGAUAAAAAAAAAAGUGUUGCUUUCUCAAAAAUCUAAGGCGUAGUAUAUUGCGGCUACAAGUACGAUAUGUCAAAUAAUUUGGUUUUGAAGAAUUUUAGUACAUCUAAAAGAAAAAAGUAAAAUGAACCAACUAACAACUACUGCAACAACAAGUCUACUAUUAUAAUGAUGAAGAAUCCUAUCGUCCAUGAGUACACCAAAUAUAUUGAAGCUCAAUAUCACUUCAUUUGUGAAUUGAUUGGUAAGGAAGAAAUUCAAAUGGACCACUGGACCACCAAAGAUUAACUUAUUAACAGCUUUACAAAAGCUUUAGCAAAAGAAAUUUUUUAUUUUUUUCAAAAAUAACUUCAAGUUAUAACUAUUUUGAAUCAGGGUGUGAUAAAAUUAAUUCAAAUAAUUAGGAUUAAAUACAAUAAAUAAGGAUUUAGAUUAAGAUAAAUAAAUAAGUGAUUAAUUUUUUAAUGCAUGGAUGAUGACGAGGAGGUUUGUUGGGCUAUGGGAGACUUCUUUCUUUUUUUUUUUAAUUUAUAAUUUAUCAUUUUGAUACUAUAAAUAUGUGUUUUAGAUAAGUUCAAAACACUCUAAUUUGAAAGUAUUCUUCAUUUCUUGUUUGUUAUCUUCUUCUUUUUCUUCACCGAGUUCUAAAUAAACCAAGAAUAAAUAGUUUGCAUUCUCUUUCUUCAAGAAGUUCUGAAUAAACCAAGCAUAAAUAGUUUGUAGUUUGCAUGAUUGAAGUAGUCAUGAGUCACAAUUCAAGUAACUGGCAAGGCAACGGGAUACCAAGAUCUGGCAGAACUCUGCUCAUUCCUACUCGGCAUCUUCCAAGUCUCUUCAUCUUCUGUAAGCCCACGAGGUAGAUAAACGGAACAUGAUCGAGUAGGAAUAAGAUUACUGUAAGCAAAGCAAAGCAUAUCCUUCAAAUGCCGAAGAAUCUGCGUCUUCUGAACAAGACACUUUUGCUCCUCCCCCCUUCUGUUCUAUCCACGUCGUUUUUGCCUUGCCGAACCUAAUUCAACAGAAGAACAUAUGCGACUUCACAUAAAGGCCAAGUGUCUUGUAGUACUUCCCUGUGAACAGAUACCUUGAUGUGGUCCACUAGUUGAUAUCUGCCAGAGCAAGAACAAACACUGUAUCAACUAAGCCAUGGCAAAAAGCUCAGCUAAAACUGCGGAUAAAGAUGACGUCUUCAUAUUUGAAUCCGCCAUCUUCGAUAUGAGAGGCUUGAGAUGUGACCGUGGCCUUGAUGAAUGCCACCGAGUUCCCAAGAGUGGCAGUACGGGUGAUGAUCUCCUGUGAGAUUACACAGCAUGCUGAGCCAGUGCAUAUAAAAGCUCCCCCACAGGGACGCUCGAGAGCGAGCUCACUGCAUUGCAUCGAAGUUUCUUUAUCUUCACAAGAAGUGAAAUCUUGUAAUUGCCGAUCACAUCCGCGAUGGUUGGUUUGCCAUGAAGGUGGCGGACCGAGUCCAUCCACAUGUUUCUGCAUGAACAGCGACGAGCACAUCCAAGUGGAUAGAAUGGCUGCCGAGCCAACCGGAGGGAAGAGUUGGAUACGCACAGCAACGCGUGCGGACGGGGAGAGAUUGCGGCACGUGAAGUGGAGCCCACCACGCCACGUGGUUGACACAUCAGCAGCUCAUCUAAUUAUUCUGUGCAUCAAAAGGUGAAGGGGAAAGCCGAUCACGUCCAAGAAGAAGGAGCUCCACACAAAUCUUGAAGGUGGCCAACGAGACCACUAGAACAACUUCGGCCUGGGGGGAGUAAUGGAGGAGUUGUUUAGGUGAUUUCUGCUCCAUUGAGCUAUCAUUGAAAGAGGCAACAACAGGUCAGCUCUGAAAGGCAAGCAUCUAUUUGGAGGACUACAAGACAUUGUGAUUGACCGUAGAACAAACAGUGCCAUAACAAGUAGGUCUAGUAACCUAGAUUAGUUCUUGACUCCAACACAAGAUAGAACAGGUCAUCACGAGUAUUGUGUUAGAGAAAUUCUCGAUCAUGAGAGCAUUGAUCUCAUGAUUGAGAUCAAUCAUGCUUGAUAUAUCCUCAGUAAAGUUUGUAAUCCCAGCUAAACGGAUGAAUAGAGCUCAUAAAAAAUAAUAGGUAAUGAAUGCUUGAUGAUUCUUGUGAGACUUGGAAUUGACUUGUCGCUAGCAGUUUUACCUGCUCUAUAAACAAAUGAAUAGAUGGAACACCUUUGGAGAAAGUCCACAAAGUCAAAAGGUUGACAACAAACCCCCUUCUUGGGUGUCUCCCUGCUAUCUACAGGAAAAACUAAGAGAAGGAAAUUGAGAGAGGUGGGACAACUGGAGAUGUCACUUGAUGGAAGGAGUCCUUUGAUGACCUUAGUAGGUGUCUGACAAAAUUACAUGGUGCUUCAAGAUCAAGGAAUGACUGGUUUGGGUCAAAGGAGAAGUGCUUCUAUCACUUCUAGCUAGUUUCAUUCCUUGGCAUCUUUGUUGCUUCUUCUCGAAGAGGAUGGUGUAGUGAUGUAUUAAGAUCUCAUUUGCUUCUUCUUUUCUGGAGGAAAUAUGCCCUCUACCACCUCUUUUGAACUCUUCAAAUCUUUGUUCCUUCAAAGGAAAUAUGUUCCUUCAAAGAUACAAAAUUUAAAAUGGUCAUAGGUGCCAAUGUUUCAUAGAUCAACAAGCAAAUAAGACAUCAACUCAAAACCUUCUUAAGAUCGCUUGAAUUAGAAGAUCUUAAAGAGUUAAAAUAUAUUUAGAUAAUCAGAUAUAUAGAGGUGAACAGAAUUAUAUCAUAUUCAUACAUGUAUAUGGAACAUCUCAAACAUCACACUCUGAUAUGGAGAAUAUACAUUCAUGUUCAAUUUCAUUUGGAUUCAAAUGAUAUUGUUUGAUCCACUUUCACCCCUAUUCAUAAAAAGAAGGGACUAUAUCAACACUCUUCGAUUUUUGGAAAUAAUAAGAGCUUCUAAUCAAUGGCCAACAUUACAAUGAUGUCAAGUAUUUGAUGAACAAUAUGUAUUUGAAAUGUUGCUCAAAGUACCCCCUCUUUAGGAGACUUUUCCAUAGACAUAUAGUGGUGGAAGUUUCUACUUUGUAGGGUUGUAGGAAAUCAAACACCAUAACAUUCCGGAUACUAAAAUCCAAUUGCAUUCAUCAAAGCUACAAUUAAGCCCCCCAAUGCCCCUAUUUCCCCUCCCCCAUUGGUAUCCCUUGUGCUUAUCUCUUUGAGGCUCCUUCCUUGUAUCAAGAAUGGUCUCGUUGCUGAUGCCAAGACACCCCCCCAUGAGAUUCCAAAGUUGCAGGCAAAGCCAAGGGGAAGGCUACCCACAGCUCCUUCUUUCCCAUUGAUUGAUUAUUUCUUAGUCUUCAUGCUUUAUAUAAUUAAUUAUAUCACAAUGACACUCCUUUUGGGGUCUAUUCCUAUCUUUUAAAAGGUGGCAGUGCCGUGUCCAGGACCCUUCCUUAACACCAAGGUCAAAUGCAAGAGUUUCUUCUUUCAAGUAGAAAGUUUUCCUUUUCUCCUUAAAUUAAUGAGAGUUCCCCAUCCACUUGUCCAACAAAGAUAGGGCAUGUUCUUUAAGUAGACUUUCCCUCUACCCUAAGGUAUUUGUUUUCCUCUGAGGAAAAAAAGAUAAUAUACAUACAUACAUAGACAUUUGAUUGUGCAAAAGUAGCAAUGAUGGACUAAGUUUGGGGUUAGUUUCCUAACAGUGGUUGAGACACAAGUAGGACAUUGAAUGGCUGGAUUAUUGGCUAAUCUUCUUGGUGUUUGUUUUAGGGUUGCUGGGAUUCAUUGUGAAUUGGGACAAAUCUUUGUUGACUUCAAUUAGAUCAAAUAGUAUAAAAAGGUAAAGUUGAUUAGUGGAUAGAACAAUUAGUGAUAGGUUGUCAUAUGUGACACACAUGUAAAAGUUUGAGCUUAGAAUGAGUGGUGAUGAUGCAAUUGUCUUGUGUGUCACUAUAUUUUCCACAAGGUUUUAAUCCUUUGACAAUUCUAUGGCACCAAACUAAUCAAACUAAGAUUAUCUCAAAGAGGCUUUCAUAACACAAAUCAUUUGUGAAUCAAAUUACUCAUCCCACAACCCAUUAAUGGCUUUGUAACCAUCAGAUUCAAGAGGUAAACCUAAUGGGAAAUACAUGAGAUAUUGUAUUCAUGGCUUUUGUGAUAUGACAUUAGGUAUAAUAGCAUAUACUUGUUAUAAUUGUUGAAGUCCUACUGGAAAGCAAACCAACGCACAGUGGACUUUGUCCAUGUCAUGAGAUCUGCAACUUCGAACUUAUUAAUUUGUGAUGCUUGCAAUGAACCCUAGGUGCAUACCACCAGCAUUGUCCUGCCCGGUAAGCAUCACAUCACAUCACAUCAUCCUUCUUUCUCUCUGGGUUUCUUUCUAUAAAGCUUGGCCUCACCUUCUUUGGUUGUUCUUCACUCGAGGCUGAGACAUCAAAAUUCUCUUUGGGUUGCUAAAUAGAGAGAGGGAGAGAGAGAGAGAUGGGAAGAGCUCCAUGCUGUGACAAGACAAACGUGAAGAAGGGACCAUGGUCUCCCGAGGAGGACGCAAAGCUAAAGGAUUACAUUGAAGAGCAUGGAACGGGUGGCAAUUGGAUUGCCCUGCCUAAUAAGAUUGGUAAGUAAUACCCAAAACCCUUAUUAUCUUGGCUUUUUUCUUUGGAUAAAGCUUCUUCUCUAAGGACAAAAAAGUAGUAUUAGUAGAUAUAUAGAUCGAUCCGUGUGGAGAGAAAAUGGUUAGCCAGUCCCAACUAAAGAACUUUAUUUCCUUGGAAUAGAAGAUAGCUCAUCCUAAAUUCUUAGAAAGAACAAACUGUUAGAUCAGGGAUGAUGAAAGAGGGUGAGAAGGGAAAGUUGCUAUGGUCUUUGCUUCCUAUUUAAGGUGUGUUCAUCUUGAUGUUGUAACUUUUCACCCAAGAAACAAAUCACAGUUAAGAAUACAUAGAGGAAGUCUAAUCAUAGCUGUGUUCUAAAUUCUUCUUCUUUCCUUUCUCUGCACUAAUUUUGAGGUGAUGUGAUAGAGAAUUAUGACAAGAAACAAACCCUUCUUUUUUUGUCAGUCCAUCCAACUAGUGAUUAUAUGUGUGAAUUUUGAUGAUUGUUUGAAGGGUUGAAGAGGUGUGGCAAAAGCUGCAGGCUGAGAUGGCUAAAUUAUCUGAGACCAAACAUCAAACAUGGUGGCUUUACAGAAGAGGAAGAUCAAACUAUCUGCAGGCUCUACAUAAGUAUAGGGAGCAGGUAAAUCAUACAACUGCAACCCCGCCUUCUCUCCCCCCAAUCUCUCUCUUCCUUCCAUGAUAACCCUCCACUUUCAUGCAUUAGGUGGUCAAUAAUUGCAGCCCAGCUGCCAGGAAGAACAGAUAAUGAUAUCAAGAAUUACUGGAACACAAGGCUGAAGAAGAAACUACUCGGCAAGCAAAGAGAACCGAAUCGAUCGCGAAGCCUCCACCUUAACCAUGUUCCUGGCGACGCAGCUGAUAGGUUGAAGCACGAAGCACCUUCCCAAACCCUAAGCGCAUCAGCCCUCGAGAGAAUGCAACUCCACAUGCAGCUCCAAGGCCUCCACAAUCCCUUCUCCUUCUACAACCACCCUGAACUCUGGCCCAAGUACUAUCAUCCACUAGGAGAUAAGAUCUUCCAAAGCCAAACCACAGAUGCUACUGCUACAACCCCUGUGCAACAAGCUCCUGAUGUAUCAAAGCUGAUGAGUACAAACAUACAAGAAACGGACUGCUUACCGUUAGGGUUUCGCUCACCCUCGAGCGGAGGUACUCUCAGCAUGGAAACUUCGAGCUCCAACUUGGAUUCUGCAACUGCAGGUGUUCGAGCUGACCUCCAUGACCUGCUCUACUGCAAGAACUCCUCCACUGUAGGGCAUGAAGAGCAUCAACUUGUUGACUUAGACUGUUACAAAGAAAUAUAUGGUGAAACGGAGAGUACAAAUUGGUGGCCUACUGAAGGUUUCAUGGAUCAAACAGCAACAGUGUCUUGGGAUUCAGCCUCAGCUCUCCAUUCCGAGUUCAUGUGGCAAGAGAAUGGGCUACGGUUUGGUCUGUAGGAAGGCAAUUAAAUGAAGUUGUUGAGAAUUUAGACCUGAGCAUAUGUGCUUCCACAUGUCUAAGAACACUCAGUGUAAAGUUGUCAAUAAUACUGUAAUGCUCUUCUUCCUCGGCUUACAUUCAACUUCAUCAGUUCAUCAGCUUGAUUCUUCUGAUGUCUUUCUUCUUUUCUGCCUUUGGAGUUCAUAUUGCACCUAACGUAGGAUAUACUAUCUAUGUACACCAGUUGAAAGCAAAACUUGGAUACAUACACCUCCUCCAUCUUUAGAUUAAUGAAGUGCAAUAAACCCCUGCAUAUCUCUAUUGAAAGCACAUCUCACAGACCGAGAUAAAUAAAUAAAUAUAUAAUAUUAUAUGUACGGGUUAAUUUGGGCCCACAAAGAAUUGGGCUAAUUUAACACUGAGUUGGGCCUAAACGGCCUAUAGAACAAUAAGAGUAGUAUUGUUGCUUACAUUGCUCCGCGGAGUACGUGACGCUGUAUCGGUAGCCUAGCCUAUAAAUAGGCAACUGCCGUUCUUUCCGAGGGCCGACGCCUUCUUUCCACCGAGGGAUGUUACAGCUAGGGUUCUUUGCCGUCGACGACGAAAGCAACGGCCGAUAAUGUCCCCGGCGGCUCCAACACAACAGCCGAUAAUGUCCCCUCCUCCACGCUGUCGCAAUCCAUCGGGAAAUCGUCGUGGAUGAUUGAAGGCGCCGUAUUCUAUGAUUUCGCAGCAUUCUUGAAAUCUUCUUGUUGAGUCCUUGCAAUCAAUUUGAUCUUUAUCUUUUGGUUGUGAGGCGCAAAGAGCUCUGAUAACUGGUUAUGAGGUAAAAUCGCUCUCUCUCUCCCUUUAAGGAAAGUUCUUGAAGUGAAGUUUGAUGAUUGAUAGUGUGAUCAAAUUAAAGUUUCUUUUAGGUUAUCCUCAACGACCAUUAUGGUCGAUUAUUUGACGGGAGAAGGUGAGCCGCAUUAGUGCAUCUUUUGUAGUAGAUAAGGAUUGUGGUUGAGCAAAGCAAAGGAUAACUUUAGGGUUUGUUGCUAAUGCACAAUUAUGCUAGUUUUCUCGUCUGUCGUCAGCAAAUCUCGGCCACCGUAUUAAGCCAUGAUAUCAAGUUGUUCCGAAAGAUUUAAUACUGGAGGUUGUCCAGCUAAUGCUGGUUCAUGUUGAUUCUGCUGUUUGUGUCUUGCCAUGAGCCUUUGCAUGACAUGCUCAUCUAAAAAUUCUCUGUUCCAGGGUAUGUUGGUUGAAUUGACCUGCACAUAAGUGUCCUUGCAUGGUUGACACAACUAAUCUUCAUAAGCUAUAUCAUAUGUACUUGUGUUUUUAAUCUAUCUUACACUAGCUUGAAUGCUCUCUUAAAAUGACAGCAAGUGACACAGCUUUUGACAGGUUUUAUAUUACAAAUUAGAAUGAGAGAGGCAGAGUGUGAAGUCCGUCUACAUUCCAUUAGUAUCAAGAAUUAGUGUCUUUAGCUUAUUGUUAUAAUAAGGUAUUAAGAUGUAGUUGCAGAACAUCAGCCAAAACCUAACAAAAAAUAAACUCAUCUUUCCUUGGUGAACUCUGUUUCUCAAUUCAGGGCUUUCAGUGAUUGAGAUCUCAUCUCAACGGCUCUUUAGCUGUACCAUCAUCUAUCAUGGGCUCACCAGAGGAACAAGCAGUACACUGCAGUGGAUGAAUCUAUCCCCUAGUCACCCAACAAAGGAGAGCUAUAUGAGAUAAGUCAUUUAUGUUUCGUUCUCUCCUGUUCUACUUAUGUCUUCUGUCUCUUUUUUAUCUGAGGUGAAGUUUCUUCUCUAGAUGGAUGCAAAUUCAUGAUGAAUACAUGACAGAUGCAAAUUCAUCAUAGAUUUUAGGUAGGUAUAGAUAUAAAUAUCAUACAGAAUUAGGAUGGUAUGACACAAAUGAUUAAAAUACUAAUGUGAAUCUCUUAUCUUAUUCUUGUUAAACCAAAUUAUUCAUGCAACUUGAUCCAGCUUGACAAAUAUGAGGUAUUUAUUAUGUUAUGUUGCUUUAGGAUUGAGACAGAUCAAAUAUAAGGUUGGGGUUAAAUCAGUGUUGGCCUACCACCCCAUCCAGCCUACUCGCAAUUUAACUGCUACCACCACCAUUGAUUGAUGCGAUUCCUUUUUCUGCCCUUUAAUGAAAGGGAGACAUGGCUAGAUCCUCUGAUUUCGGCCAACAAGUUUGACUCUUCCCCAACUUGUUCUGCAGACCCAACAAAGUUGUUCAAAUAUAUCUCUCUGUGUAGAUUUUGACUGUUUGAUAUGUUAAAAAUUCAAAAUCAAUCUUAGUACUUUUGAGAAUCCGUCACAAGCUUAUAUUAGAGAGUUGAUUGGAUUCGGUGACGGAUCCUACAAGAACUAGGUGAGGAACAUACUUGACAAAAACCCCUUUCAUGUUUAAUUUAGGAACUUGGGAAAGAGUGAUAUAGAAUAUAGAGGAUUCAAAAGAUAGUCCCUAGAGUUAACAUAUCUGAGAUAUUUUAUAGGGACUUUCAGUAUUUGUCACGAUUAAAAUGAGGAGUUAAAUCCAUAAGACGAUUUCGUAGGAUUGUUGAGCUUUACUUAGACUUGAAGAGUCACUUAAACCAUAAGAGUGUAUUAAAUCUCUUAUAUCAUCUAUCUCAUUGUCACUGUGUGAAAGAUGUCGGAACUUAAUGUCAUAUUCGACUUGGGAAUUGAUCACAUCAUAAGUGGUGGGUGAUUGGGAAAUCAAGGUUAAUUUAUAGUCUCACUUGACCAUCAUGAAGACAAAGAAUGUUGAGAUUCAUAGUCGAAUUUUAUCACAUCUUAGACAAAUGACACUUCAUGACCAUAUUCAGUCACAUCGAAGACAAAGGAUGUUUCAUGGUUGAGGUCUAUCCCAUGAUUCAGACAAGUGAUGUUAAUGCUUUGUGGUUAGAUUUAAUUGAAUCGGAGAUAAAUGAUAUUUUGUAGAUAAAUUUGAUCAUACCGAAGGUUAAGGAGAUAAAGGGGGUAAUUGCCUCAAUAGUUAAUUUAAAAAAUAGUAUUGAGGUCUCUACACUUACGAAGGCGAAAUAUUUAAUCUCAAUUCUCCUUACGUCAUUAAUUUCGUUGACGAAAAAAAUCGCACGUGUUGUCAUAUGUAAAAAAUAAAAACGAAUGAAAAAAAUAAAAAAAUAAUUUUAUUAUCUUUUUAAAUUAUUAAUUUUAUAUAAACUUUACUAGUUUCAUCUUCUCCUCUUUCGAAAUUGUUAACCCGUCGGACUCGCUCACUCGUCGCACUUGCCCACCCUUCUUGCUUGUUGUGUGAGUGUAGUGGGUGAGUUGUUUGAAAAGAGAAGAGGAAACCAACAAAGUUUAUAUAAAAUUAAUAAUUUAAAAAAUAACAAAAUUAUAUUUUUAUCCAUUCCAUUCGUUUUUUUUUUCAUGUCAACAAAAUCAAUAACAUAAAAAGUAUUGAGGUUAAAUAUUUUAUAAGAGUUUCAAUACUAUUUUUUAAAGUAUAAAAAUUAAGAUACUAAUCAUGUUUAAUUAUAAAGGAUAAUAUAUAAUUAUCUCGGAUUCGAGGAAGGUUAAUGAUGCUUCGUGAUUACAUUUGAUUGUAUAAAAUAUUUUUAAUGAUCGGAUUUGACGAUGCUAGAGAAGGAUGCUUUAAUAUUAUAAUAAUAGUUAUAUAAUUUUCAUAGUUUCUAUGGACGUGAGUCGCAAAAUAAUUUCACGUGGAUCAUCCCCUCUCAUGCAUCAUUAAUAUGAACUUUCCCACGUUAAACGAGUGGUGCGGGAGGGAUUUUAUUCUCAAAUCCGACAUCUUUGGGAGUUCAUAUGGUAAAAAUUUCUUCGGGUGGCUAACUUGAAGCUGAGCACGAGGGUUGAAUCUGCGUUCCCAAAGGUUCCUUGCUACUUUUAUUGACCGCUAUUGCGACUGUAGGCUUCAUUUUUAAAGGGUCAACCAGAAACCACCUUCCACGGUGAAUGACCUGGACCACAAGUUGUCUUCUCUGUAGUUCCUGGUCUAUGGUGGACUCGGGCACGAGCCAACAUGAAUAUUAAAUUCGGGUCUGCGAAGGGCCACGUCGCCCGUGAAACUUCCGCUUUCGAUUGUUAUCUACGAACGCGUGAGGAGUGGGUUAUACCGCUGAAAAUGAGUAAAGAAGUCCCCAUAUACAAUAUGGGUUUAUAUAUUCUUCCUCUCACUCACGUCCUCUUCGCCUGCACUUCCAUCGUUUUUCCUGCCUCAUCUUCUCCCGUUCCCUGAUGAGGGGCCUGGCUCUCCGUAGGUUCGCUCGCUUCCUCUACUCCCUCUUCUUGUUCCCAAUCCUUAUCCCCUCCACCCUCUCCGCCUCUCCACCGCCUCCUCUCCAUGCGUCUUCGACUCCCGCGGUGGUGGCGACCUUCAAGGUCGGCCUCAUUCUCGACAUGAGCUCCGCUACCGGGAAAGUCUACAGGACGAUCGCCCGGAUGGCCGCCGACGACUUCUACGACAAAUACCCAAACUCCACCAACCGCAUCGUCCUCCUUCCCCGUGACUCCUCCCGCGACGUCGUGAACGCCGCCGCCGCUGGUACCCGGACCUCCCCUUCACGUCUUCCUUACUUGGCCCCCAAGUCUUGACUAUGACUUGUGCCGGCCGAAUAUUGACGGUUGACUGACUGAUCGCGGUUGACUGGAUGCAGCGCUGGAGUUGCUGAACGAUGACGAGGCGCACGCCAUACUCGGCCCGCAGACCUCCGUGGAGGCACCCUUCGUCGCCGAUCUCGGUGCCAAGGCCAGAAUCCCCGUCGUUUCUUUUUCCGCCACCAGCCCCGCGGUGUCCCCCGCGCGCAGCCCCUACUUCGUCCGCGCCGUCCCCAGUGACGCCGCCCAGGUCCGAGCCAUCGCCGCCAUCGUCCAGGCCUUCGACUGGCGCCGCGUCGUCGCCGUCUACGAGGAUUCGGACUACGGCACCGCCCUAGUCCCCUUCCUCGUUGACGCCUUUGACGAGGUCGGCGCUUCCGUCCCCUACCGCUGCGCCCUUUCCCCCUCCGCCACCGAGGACCACAUUUCCGCCGAGCUCUACCGCCUGAAGACGCUGCAGACGUGCGUCUUCGUGGUGCACGUUACCUUCCCGCUGGCCAUCCGCCUCUUCCCUCUCAUCAGGAGCGCCGAGAUGAUGAGCGACGGCUUCGUUUGGAUAAUCACCGAGGGGCUCACCAGCCUCCUCGGCUCGAUCGACCCGCCUACUCUGGUGCCCGACAGCAUGCAAGGCGUACUGGGGGUGAAGCCGUAUAUCCCCUGGUCCCCUCGGCUCCGAGAUUUCAAGAGGAGGUGGAGGAGGGAGUUCUUGAAGGAGAAUGCGGAUUCCGACGUCACCGAGCUCAGCAACUUCGGCAUAUGGGCCUACGAUGCGGUCUGGACCGUGGCCGCCGCCGCCGAGCGCCUCGGCUCGGUCGUCGGCCCCGGCUUCGAUAUGCCCGGGAACAAUGGAACCACGGACUUCUCUAAGCUGGGUGUGUCGAGGACCGGCCCCAAGCUUCUGGACUACAUCAAGCAAACAGAGUUCCAGGGGCUCGGAGGGAGAUUUCGUCUCGAUAACGGAGAGCUGAACGUGACGGCUUACCAGAUCAUGAACGUGAACGGGGAGAAGGCGAGGGAGAUCGGGUUCUGGACGGCUAGGCACGGGCUGACCCGGGAGCUGAAUAGUAGCAGCACGAGCGAUUACUCGGCGACGAGGGAGGGGCUGCUGCCGGUAAUAUGGCCGGGGUACUCGACGGCAGUGCCGAAGGGGUGGGUGACGCCGACGAGCGGGAGGAAGCUGCGGAUCGCAGUGCCGGGGCCGGUGGAGCCAGGGUUCCAUUCCUUCCUGGACGUGGAGCGCGAUCCAGCGACGAACGUGACCCUGGCCAGGGGAUUCGUGAUCGACGUUUUCGAGGCGGCGGUGCGGCAGCUGCCGUACGCGCUGCUAUUCGAGUACGAGCCCUACCGCAACGCCAACGGAACCAGCGGCGGCGACUACAACACGCUGGUGAAGCAGGUCUACGACAAGGUCAGUUCCAUGAUCCCUGCGCUUCGUCUCCUUCUUCUUCGAUUUCCGUGGAGAUUCUACUCCUGCGAAAGAUAGAUCCCCAUGGGUCUCUUGUGACGGACGCUCUGGAUCACGCAAUCACGAUCCAAUACGGGGGGGAUAGCUCCACUUUCCCCACUCCUAUCGGAGGUCCAUGUCGGGGCGGCAUUAUCGUGCAUCACGAUUGUGAGUUCUUUCUUGAUGCUUUGGGAGCCGCACAAGGGCCUGUGAUGGGUGGUGCAGAUGCGCCAUCGACCUCUAUCGGUCGGACAUCGUGUGAGAUGUUUGCUCCACCUUCAACCUUUCUUAGGUGGUCCAUUCAUUCUCAGUGGAGGAAGUCAUUUCCACAGUAUCCACAGAUUAAUUCGGUUGACCAAUCCAACCAUUUGACCAAUUCACUCGUGAACAGGUGGCUUUGACUACUGAAGUCAAUCAUGUUUACAUCUAUCUAGUUGGAAGCCCAAUUCGUUUUCGUUACCCAAUCAUUACAUUGCCUGGGUCGCGUGUGUAUUCAUUCAUUUGAGUGGCAUUAACAUCAAUGCCGCAAAUUUUAUUCUAUUUCUUCUCAAAGUUAUUUGUUCCUCGAAAGGCAUGGACUUCUUUGCUUUUGUUUUCUUUUCCCAGUCCAUUCGGCCAAUCUUUGACCGACUUGUUCGACUGAUUGAUAAAAUAGAGAACCAGGUCAAACACAAUAAUAAUUUGAAUGGGAGGAGACAAGACACAAAAGGAAAAACAAAGAAUUAGGUUGUGCUAUUUGUAAGAUAAUAGAUUCUGGUCUUCAAUAAAGCUCACCAUGUCAUUUCUGAAUUCAUAACAUCAAGUUUUAGGUAGUAAUUAUAUUAGAUCCCUUGAUCCAAGAGGUUGGAUUGGAGUAAUUGGAAUUAUAAUACCACAGGUAAUUGGUGGGUGUUGUAAGAAUAAUACAGAAAGACUUUCUUUUUUUUAUUCCAAAGACAGAAAAAAGACUUGUUAGGAAGACCAGUCAAAACUUUCUACAGUGCAAUCUGUGAUCCCUGAUGAUAAGAACAAAACUCCAUCUCCUGUCUCUCUCUCUAUCUAUCUGUCUUAUCUCCAUCUUUAUCUCUCUAAAUAAAUACAUAUACAGAGUUCAAACAACAAAGUGGGGAGGUGGAACUUGUGAUGAAGACGACUUUCCCAUAUUGUUAUAAGGUCAUGCUGCUCACAUGGCGUGUCCUGCAGUGCAUACGUCCAAUAAUUCAACGCGGAUGACUUCAUCCGUGACGACAGCAGCAGCUGUUGACAGCUUGUGCGUCUUUGAUCCGACUGAGUCAUCCUCGUCCUUUGCUGGUGUCAGAAAUAUGACGCAGUCGUCGGGGACGUCACCAUCACCGCCAACCGGUCCAUGUUCGUCGACUUCACCUUGCCGUACACCGUCUCCGGCGUCUCCAUGGUCGUUCCUCUCAGAGACCAGCACAGCAAGAACGCCUGGAUCUUCCUCAAGCCCCUCACAGCGGAUCUCUGGCUGGUGAGCGCCGCCUUCUUCGUCUUCACCGGCGCCGUCGUGUGGGCUUUGGAGCACAGGCGGAACGCAGAGUUCCAGGGGACGCCAGGCCAACAGUUGGGCACCGUCUUCUACUUCUCCUUCUCAACCCUCGUCUUCGCUCACAGUGAGUAAAGUCCAUUCUUUUGUUCCCCCUUUGAACCUUCAUCUGAUGUGGAUCUUCUCAGACUAAUAAUAGUUUCAUGGAUCCUCAUACAGGGGAGACCUUGAUGAGCAAUCUGUCGAGGGUGGUUGUGAUCGUAUGGGUAUUUGUGGUGCUGAUACUGCAAUCCAGCUACAUUGCGAGCUUGACCUCCAUGCUCACGGUGCAACAAUUUAGACCCACCGUCAGUGACUUCGAGGAGCUCAAGCACAGUGGGCAGCACGUGGGGUACCUCAAGAGCUCCUUCACCAAGGGACUGCUGCUGAAGCUGGGCUUCGAGGAGUCGAAGCUGAAACCAUUUCGAUCACCCCAGCAGUACCAUGAAGCGUUGUCCAACGGCAGCGUGGCCGCCAUCAUCGACGAGAUCCCUUAUCUCCGGGUGUUUCUGAAGGACUACUGUGACAACUACACCAUGGCAGGGCAAACCUACAAGACCGGUGGCUUUGGAUAUGUGAGUCUCUCUCUCUCUCUCUCUCUCUCUCUCUCUCUCUCGUGCAACUCCUCUCUUACAUGUGUGUUCUGUGAUGCUUCCUCAGGCCUUCCCCAAAGGGUCGCCACUAGCGUCGGACCUGUCGAGGGCGAUCCUGAACAUAACAGAGGGCGAGGAGAUGACCGAGAUCGAGAGACGAUGGUUCGGUGACCAGACGAGCUGCCCAAACCAAGGCAGCACGCUCUCCUCCGACACCGACCGGCUCGACUUCAAGAGCUUCUGGGGGCUUUUCCUCAUCACCGGAGCCGUGUCCAUGCUGUGCUGCAUCGUCUUUUUGUCGCGCUCCGCCUACCGUAACCGGCGCACCUUCAAAGACAUCGCUGCGGAGAAGUCCUUCAGCCGGAGACUUAUCUCCAUCGCCCGGCUCUUCAAUGCCAAGGACAGCUCCUCCCAUGGAACCAGGAGGAGGACUGAGCCCAAGCAGGUCGGGCCAGCCACGAGAGACGCGAGUCCCAGUGCUUCGCCUUACUCUAACGACGCAGAUGACCAAACCACCAUCUCCGAUCACACAUUUGACGGAGGAAGCCCUUUGCCGGAGAUUGGCAGCCCGAUAACCGAUCCAAGGCCCCAUGCUGAGAUUACCGAAGCAAGUCGCUGAUGGCAUUGCAUGGUAUUGGCACACACACCAGAGAGUUCACAUAGGAACAAGAGAGUCCAGAAUCGUACUAGUGCCUGUUCUCUCUUUGUAGUUACUGAUCCUUGCUUUCACAAGUGAUGGUGGAAGGAUACCAUCUACAGUAUAUUCUUGAUCUUGAUAUCAACAAGUAACCGGUCACAAUUUUUACAGCAUCAGAAUCAUAGUGUUUUGAUCCAAGGAUCUUAGUCUGCACGUUUGCAUGUGUGUUUGUUCUUCGCUCUUCGAUUAAUCACCAUCGGAGACCCUUUCGCUGUUUGGCGAAGGUGCUGAAAAGGUAGGAGAUGAUACCUUGAGGACUCGGACAGCCACAAAUCAUUCAUCUACAUUAGAUGGCUUUGUGGACGAACUCGUGAUGAUUUGACUUCUUUGUCCAUCUCAUAAAUUCCAUGGAUGGACCUCUCAUUAACGCGGUGGUUCGGAAGUGCGAAGAAAAGUCAGAGGAUUGGUUAGUUUCAUCAAAUAUUCCACUUAAUUUGAUCUUCUCAUGGAAGGAAUCCACUUCACAGACUUGUUUUAGCAUCAAAUCCGCCACCAUUAAUAUUACAUGAGCGAUUGAUUACGUUCAACAUG
Molecule: long non-coding RNA, 35819 nt
Filed under: Musa acuminata (dwarf banana)
Lineage: Eukaryota; Viridiplantae; Streptophyta; Magnoliopsida; Zingiberales; Musaceae
Description: long non-coding RNA (MACU_LNC002989)
Source: RNAcentral